CUUCCAACACCAUGUUCACCACCACCAAUCAAUCUUUAUAUAUCAUGAGUUGCAGAACCUUUUACCAUUAACUUUUUCUCACCAUGGAUUCUGAAAUACUCCUUAUAUUUUCCUUUCUCCUCUGCAUCAUUGUGGCACUCAAACUAGGGAGAAACCUCAAGAAAAUAAGCAAGUCAUCAUCACUAAACAUACCCCCUGGACCAUGGAAGCUUCCUGUUAUAGGAAACUUGCACCAUCUUGUUUCAUCCACACCACACCGAAAACUAAGAGACUUAGCCAAAAUAUACGGACCCAUGAUGCAUCUCCAGCUAGGAGAGAUCUUCAUUAUCGUUGUUUCCUCAGCAGAGUACGCCAAAGAGAUCAUGAAAACACAUGAUGCAACCUUUGCAUCGAGACCUCAACUUCUGGCAGCAGAUAUAGCUACUUAUGGAUACACAAACAUUGCUUUUGCACCUUACGGAAGUUACUGGAAAAAGGUACGAAAAAUCUGUUCUGUCCCCAAAACGUGUCAGUUCAUUCCAACCGAUCAGAGAAGAAGAACUCAACAAUCUGGUUCAAAUUGUUAGUUCACAUGUUGGAGGGUCCCCCAUCAACCUCACUGAAGCAGUGUCCUCAUCAAUGUAUAACAUCAUUUCAAGGGCUGCUCUGGGGCAGAAGCGCACCAAAGACCACAAUGAGUUCUUCUGGCUCCAGGAGUGAAAUCAGUUGUGAAAGAAACCCUAAGGUUACACCCACCAGGAGUUCUUCUGGCUCCAAGAGAAUAUGCAGAGACAUGUGAGAUUGAUGGGUAUGAGAUACCAGUGAAAAGUAAGAUAUUGAUAAAUGCCUGAGCAAUUGGGAGAGACCCAAAGUACUGGAAUGAAGCAGAGAGGUUUUAUCCAGAGAGAUUCAUUGGCAGUUCCAUUGAUCUUAAAGGGAAUCAUUUUGAGUUCAUUCCCUUUGGUGCUGGAAGAAGAAUCUGUCCUGGCAUUUCCUUUGGCUUGCUAAAUGUUGAACUCACUCUUGCUGUUUUGUUGUUUCACUUUGAUUGGAACCUUCCUGAAGGAAUCAAAAGUGAAGACUUUGACAUGACUGAGAAAUUUGGAAUCACUGUUGGAUUAAAGAAUGAAAUUUUCUUGAUACCUCUCACUGCUGGUAAGAUAUAUUUCUUUGCUAAAUCAUAUUAUCUCAACCAUCAUAAUCUCACUCUUAACUAAAUAAAGUUAACGUAUAUUAUCUAAUCAAGUUAAACAUUAUAAGAAAAAAUUAUAUAUAAAAUAAAACAUUAUCUAAUGUCACUGUUGAUGUUUUAAAAGGGAAGUGAUGCAAAGAAAGAUGAGCGAGGAAGAAGAUUUCCACACAUCUUUGUUGAAAAGUGAAUAUGCCUCAGUGUUUCAGUUCGUGAAUAAUGAAUAAUUGAUCAGCAGAUCAAGUCUUUCAAAACUGUUACUGUAAUAUUUUUAUGUUAUGUUUCUUUUCUCAAGUAUUGAAUUGUAAGUUUCCUUUCUUUUUUUUUUUUCAGCAUGCUUAAUGUAAAGAACAUUAAUAAAUGUGUUAUUGCAGUUAUAAUUUCAACUUUAUGUUUCUCUGUCUUUUAUGAAUGGCUUAUUUAGUCACUUCCAUAACGGGUAGCUAUAAAAUUGAAAAAUUUGUUUAAUUUUUUUAUUAUUGUUAUUACUACUAUUAUUAUAAUUAUCAUUUUUUAAAUUUUGUUAUACUAUUUUAGACCUUUUUAUUUAAUUAUUUUUUUUAUAAAAAAUAGUUGAUAUAUAUAUAUAUAUAUAUAUAAUAUUUAUUCGUGAAAUUUAUAAUAAAACUGUUUUAACACUUUUUCAGGAAUUAUUUUUAACGUUAUCAACGAUUUUUAAUCCCUGAAAAAUAUGUUUUCUACUAUUGUAAAAACCUUUGAAAAAAGUAGCACUGUUAAAUAGUUACAUAAUUAAAUAAUUGCCAACCAUUUUUUGUUAAAUCGCCUCUAUUUUUAGUAUAGAUGUUAAAAUGAGUCAUAAUUUGUGGAUCAAUUCGGUUCAUCACGGGUUCGGGCUGAAUUAGAUUUUAAAAAAUUAUAUUUUUUUUUAUGCGAGUCAGAUUUCAACUCAGCUCAUUUAAACUCGGUUCUUCCGAGUUGAACCCGUGGUGGACCGGGUUGGCCCACCAACCCACCUACCUAAUUUUAUUUUAUUAAAAUUUAAUUUAAAUUUUAUAAAAAAAUAUUUAUUAUUCUUUUUGCUUGAAAAAAUUAUUUAAUUUUCUUGUUUUCAAAACUAUUUAAAAUUGGUUUAGAUUUGAAUUAUAGAAAGUUCGUAAUUCUUUUUUAUUUUAAAAAGAUUGUAAUUAAGUGAGUUAGUGAGUCAACCUGUUUACCUAUCAACCUGUGAUGGGUCGAGCCGUAUUUGAAUAUUUUUGACUCGUUAAUAAAUGAGUCAGGUUGGAUUGACUCACUAAGUGAUCAACCAUGGUAGGUCGGAUCAGGUGAUCCGUUUUGACAACACUAAUUUCUAGGGAUUUUUGGAAAAUCCUUGAAACUCAACCGGGUUUGACAAAACCGCCCCUAACCGUCGAAAAUGUAUACAGAUUAAUUUUUUUUAUAGUGUUGAAAUUGGAUUAUGAUAAAAUUGGUUUUAAUAUCAAUAUAUACAAUCAAGACAUAAAACAAUGUUAGCACUUAAUGAAUGAGAUGACAAUUGCAUAUCCAACGAAUAUACUAUAAAGGAAAAUUGUCCCACAUGUACACAUGUAACAGCCCAUAAAAACUUCUUUUGAAAAUCAUUUCAUCAGUCCAAAACUUAUACAAUUGAGAAAGUAUGAGACAAUUGCAAGUGGCCGUGCAUUAAGAGAGAAAGGCUUUCAAAUGAAUAAACAAACAACACGGAGUGUCCCACCUUGUCUGCCACAAAUAUGUUUUCUUAGAAAUUAAUUGUUUCAGCCUCACAAUGAAACAGCCAACACCUUAAUAUUCAAAAUUUGCAUAGUCAUUCACAGAAAGCAAUCGUGCAUUCAUAAAAUGUAUUGACCACCAAACUUUCCCUUCUCUCACAAACUCAAACCAACAAUGCUCAUACGAAAAUACACCAUCAAUUCAACAUCAUCUAGCUCACAUUUACAUGUCAAGAUGUUAAUUUCAACAAAGUUCUCUCAUACCUGGUUCGAAUCCUUCUCAGAUUAAACCCUCGACCCAAAAUCCUUCAAUCGCCUAUAGUUCUUCGCUCAACCUCUGCGCUCUCUCGUGCUCACGUGAGGCAAAGCAGACCUCACCUUCACCCUCCUAACCAACCACGAAAUAGACGGGAGAAAGGCGUUUCUAGGGCACAAAAAUAACGAAGGAGAGAAGAGAAGGAAGGAUGCCGAAAAAUGACAAAGGAGAAGAAACGAACCACGAUGAACGCCGGAGAAACCACGGAGAACGCCGAAGAAGAAAUGGACAACGCCGGAAAAGGAAUGGAGAAUGCCAAGAUGGAGGAGAACCAAAGGAGAAUAAUAAAUGUAGUGAGAACGUAAAUCACAGAACGCUUAGAAGAAAAGAGAAAAUGCACGGCGCGAAACCUAAAUCCUGAAUAUACACAAUGAAAUAAAAAUAAAUCAUACUACUUAUUUAAACAAGCAUGGUCUAUUGGUUUUUCUAAAGACAUCGUUUUUUAAUAAAAAGUUAAUAAAAAUUAAUAAUAGAAUAGAUCACGCUUUUAUAGAAAAAUAAAUUAUUCAUUUGGUACCAUUAUAGACAGUAUUUUUUUUUUAAAAAAAACAGUAUCUGUUGUUUUGUGUUUUUUUUUUUUUAAAAACAGUAUCUAUUGUUUUGUAUUUUGAUAAAUAGCAUUUAUUUAAAUAAAUGCUAUCUAUUCAUUUUGUAAUAGUAUUUAUAAAAAUCAUCACGUUGUUCAUUUAAUUAAGUUGAAGUUGUUAUCACUCUAAAUCAUGACAACACAUGUUUUUAAGGAGUUACGAAAACAUUUAAAACAAAAAUAUUUGGGUUAAAUAGGUUUUUAGUCCUUAUACUUUGGAGCAUUUUGGUUUUAGUCUCUCUUUUAAACUAAAGUACAAUUUAGUCCUUCAACCUUAUAAAAUUCUGGUUUUAGUCCUUUUUAUCAAAUUUUUUUAACUUUAUUUGCUAUUUCAAGCAUGUUUCAUUAUAGCGUUUGGAUUGUUUACACUGUUUGACACAUUUUUUCUUCAAUGUUAACUGAGAAACGCGUUUAAAAUAGCAAAUAAAGUUAAAAAAAUUUGAUAAAAAGGACUAAAACCAGAGUUUUCUAAAGUUCAAGGACUAAAUUGUACCUUAGUUUGAAAGAGUGACUAAAACCAAAAUCGCCCCAAAGAUUAAGACUAAAAACAUAUUUAAUCCAAAAUAUUUUAUAAAAGAAUUUGUUAUACAUUUAUAUAUAUAUAUAUAUAUAUUAAACUUACACUUAAGCUAUAAUGCUUAAGUAAGAAAUAAGGAUUUGAAGUGGAGUUACCUUAUGAAAAAGUCAUUAAGCUAUCGUCACUUAAACGUAAACAUUUGUUUUAAAACAAGUUCGUUACUUAAGCGUAUAUUCAGUAGCACUUAAACAAUUACUUAAAAAGAAUGAAUUAAUGAGUUAAAUUAUUUUCAAAAUGUGUGUAUUAAUUUAUUUUAGAAAGUUGUAUAGUCUUAAGACAUAUUUAUUUAUUGAAAUAUAGGAAAAGAUGCAUACGCGAUUUAAAUUAUAAAAUUUCAUACUCUGCAAUCAAUUUUAACAUGCACAAAUUUAAAAUAAAGUAAAAACAUAAACUAAAAAAACUAAAAAUACUAUAAUAAACGAAAAAACAAACAACCUAAUUUACAUAAUUUACCGUCUCAUUAUGACCAAAAGUGUUAGUUUCCUUGAAGAUUGAGAAUUACAUCAAAUAUUACAUCUCUAGUCAAAUAUAGUUAAUAUAAAUAUAUCUGAAAAAAAUGCUUAUUUAUUAUUAUCUAUUAUUUAAUUACUUUAAUUCUUUGAAAAGAUACAUCGUUCGAAGACGAUAGAUAUGAUUUGUUUGAUAUGAGACUAAUUCUAUUGAAACAUUCUGAUUACUUAUUUUGUUGUAGAUUGGUUUAAUUCUAACUUUGUGUUGUAUAUUUGAUAUGAAUAGACCUCUUUGCACUAGUGCAAAAAUGUUGUUCAACGUCACUCAUAAGACGUCGAUUUGCGUGUAAUUCGAUGUAUAGAGCGGACGGUGACAUUAUUGUAAAUAGUCUGCUAAACUAGACGUCUGUUUUUGGAUAAAACCGACGUCUAUUAAUUUCAAGACGUCAGCACUGUAGCACCCCGACGUCUACUGGGCUGCAUUUAAUGCUUUUCACCUAAUUCUCAUGGGCUUAGACGUCACGUAGUCCAAAUCCGACGUCUAAGGCAUGUCUGGAAGGCGGGAAGACAAAAAAAUCUUCAAUGUUGACAUCGGCGUUUCAGUCUACGCGACGUCUAUAAUACCUGUAAUAAUUAUGUUUACAAAACUCGAGGGCCUGAGACGUCGGCUAUUUGGGCCCCCGACGUGUAUGUUAUUAUAGACGUCGGUGGCCCAUACCAACAGUCGUGAACAUCCCUGACAGGAUAUCAAACGUCAAUCGGUUCAGCUUCCUAGAUGUCGGUUCCCCCUGACAGAAACCGACGUCUAAUGGGUAUUCAAAAAGUCAGUUUUAAAUGUUCACUUGGACGUCACAUUAGUAGGAUAACCGACGUCUAUAGAUGUCGGUUUCUGAAGAAUAACCGACGCCCAAUUCCAUUUUAAAUAUACCACAACUCUUCGCGGCAUUUCAGUUUCUGAUAUCGAUCGUCUUCCUCUUCUCCUUUUUCUCUUGCCACACCUCUUCUUUUUCUCUCUUGCAUCCCAAGUGCGUGGUUUUUUUUUUAUGUUUACAGUUUAAACUUUAUUUAGUCUUUCAUCUAUUAUCUUGUGGUUCAACUGAUGAAAAUUUGCUUUCUUUGUGUUGUGUUUUAGUGCAAUUUUGAUCCUCUCUUUGGGUAACAUAGUACAACAUUCUCCCUUUGCUAGUUUCCUCACAAGAAGAGUGACAAUCUUUUGAGUUUUUUAUGAUUUCUCGACCUAAAAUGCAACUUGGGUCCUUGUCUAGUUCUCGUGUCACCGUAAUUUUUUNUAUAUAUAUGUAUAUAUAUAUGUAUAUAUAUGUAUAUGUAUAUAUAUAUAUGUAUAUAUAUGUAUAUGUAUAUGUAUAUAUAUGUAUAUAUAUAUAUAUAUAUAUAUAUAUAUAUAUAUAUAUAUAUAUAUAUAUAUAUAUAUAUAUAUAUAUAUAUAUAUGUAUAUGUAUACAUAUACAUAUAUAUAUAUAUAUAUAUAGAGGGUGAAAUAUGUUUUUGGUCCCUUAAUUUUCACUGAAAAUUGGAAUUAGUUUCUCUUCAAAACUUUGGUCUAAUUUAGUUUUCCAACUUUAAAAACUUAUGAAUUUAGUCCUUUUAACUAAAUUUUGUUAGGUUUAUUUGAUGUUUCAAGCACGUUUCAUAAUAGCAUUUGGGUUGUUUACAUUGUUUGACACAUAUUUGCUUCAAUGUCAACUGAGAAAUGCGUUUGAAACAUAAAAUAAAGUUAACAAAAUUUGGUUAAAAGGACUAAAUUCAUACUUUUCUAAAGUUGGGGGACUAAAUUAGACCAAAAUUUUGAAGAGAGACUAAUUCAAAUUUUCACUAAAAGUUAAGGGACCAAAAACGUAUUUAACCCAUAUAUAUAUAUAUAUAUAUAUAUAUAUAUAUAUAUAUAUAUAUAUAUAUAUAUAUAUAUAUAUAUAGUGUACACCUGUUGUUCAGUUGGUGUGUUUUAACAAUGUGUACCGGAUUAUAGUAGACAAAAAUACCCUCAUAUAUCAUGGAUUCUAAGUUUUAAGGUCAAGGAUAUUUAAAUAAUUUUUCAUUCUCAAAACUAAAAUAAAAAACCCAAACCCUUACUCACCUCCCUCAUUCCUCUCAAUCCUUUCUCUUUCAUCUCUCUCACACUCUAACAUUUUCUUUGUCAUCUCUACUAUUGCCCCAAUUGAAAAAAAAAUCAGAAACCCUAUAGUUUUUUAUCUUCCACAGUGGUUAAAGUUUAUUCUAAAGGCCUGCAGAAGUUUAUUAAGUGAUAAAAACGAGACAUAAGGAAAUUAAAGAAAUGGGUAUAAAAGAGCUCCCUAGGAGUACAAUUAUUUCAAUUCUAGGUUGUAAUCUUACAUCAUGUAUACCAUACCAAAAGAGAAAGGAAAAAGAAACACUUUGUGUAAAGGGAAAAGGACAAUAGAGGGAAAUAUCUUGUUCUUUAAAAAUAUAAUGAAAUGUGAUGUAGAUGUGUAAAUGAUAUAUGAAAAUUUAAUUGAUUUAUGAAGGUUUUAUUUACAUGAUUUAAUUUAAAAAUGAAAUUUAAUAAUAAUAAAAAGGGAAAAUAUAUAACACAUCCUCCAAAUGAACGAACAGAACAAGAACAACAAAUUACGGUGGCGAGGGUUGUUGUGUGGUUGAGGGAGAGUAUGGAGAUGAGAGAAAAACAAAUUGGAUAAGUGAGGAAGGUGAAUUAGGGUUAGGCAAGGGUUUCUGUUUGUUUUUCAAUUCUGGCAACAGUAGGGAUGACAGAGAAAAUGUUGGAGUGAGAGAGAUGAAAGAGAAAGGGUUGAGAGAAAUAAGGGAGGUGAGUAAGGGUUUGGGGGUUUCUUUUUUUUUUUUAGUUUCGAGAAUGAAAAUUAUUUAAAUAUCUUUGACCUUAAAACUUAGAAUCCAUGAUAUAUGAGGGUAAUUUUGUUUACUAUAAUCCGGUACACAUUGUUAAAAUGUACCAACUGAAAAACAGGUGUACGCGCAUUACAAACCCUAUAAAAAAUAAAUUGAAUCAUACAUUAUACAUGCAUCUAUAUAGAAAGAGAAAUCGUGUCAACUUAUCCUUCUCAACUUUGCCUUAAUUAUACUAUGAAAAAAGUCUCUUUAACAACACUUUUUUGAUAAUUUUUUGAGAACACAUACAUAGGAGUGUAUGAUUGGUCCGUUUCAAAUAUUUUUUUAAACAUAAAUUCAAACAGACCAAUAAAAUGAUGACACGUGUCAUGUUGUAAAAAAAUUAUUAAAAAGAGUUGUAAAAAUAUCAUCAUCCACUUAUACUAUUGGUACCUAUUUUUUCUUCACAAUCUGACACCACUUUAUACUUAAAAUUGCCUUGACUUUAACUAGUGUGAUGUGAGACCUUGAAAAGUAUGCUUUACCAUUUGUGUUCAAAAUGAAUAUAUAUAUAUAUAUAUAUAUAUAUAUNUAUAUAUAUAUAUAUAUAUUAAACUUACACUUAAGCUAUAAUGCUUAAGUAAGAAAUAAGGAUUUGAAGUGGAGUUACCUUAUGAAAAAGUCAUUAAGCUAUCGUCACUUAAACGUAAACAUUUGUUUUAAAACAAGUUCGUUACUUAAGCGUAUAUUCAGUAGCACUUAAACAAUUACUUAAAAAGAAUGAAUUAAUGAGUUAAAUUAUUUUCAAAAUGUGUGUAUUAAUUUAUUUUAGAAAGUUGUAUAGUCUUAAGACAUAUUUAUUUAUUGAAAUAUAGGAAAAGAUGCAUACGCGAUUUAAAUUAUAAAAUUUCAUACUCUGCAAUCAAUUUUAACAUGCACAAAUUUAAAAUAAAGUAAAAACAUAAACUAAAAAAACUAAAAAUACUAUAAUAAACGAAAAAACAAACAACCUAAUUUACAUAAUUUACCGUCUCAUUAUGACCAAAAGUGUUAGUUUCCUUGAAGAUUGAGAAUUACAUCAAAUAUUACAUCUCUAGUCAAAUAUAGUUAAUAUAAAUAUAUCUGAAAAAAAUGCUUAUUUAUUAUUAUCUAUUAUUUAAUUACUUUAAUUCUUUGAAAAGAUACAUCGUUCGAAGACGAUAGAUAUGAUUUGUUUGAUAUGAGACUAAUUCUAUUGAAACAUUCUGAUUACUUAUUUUGUUGUAGAUUGGUUUAAUUCUAACUUUGUGUUGUAUAUUUGAUAUGAAUAGACCUCUUUGCACUAGUGCAAAAAUGUUGUUCAACGUCACUCAUAAGACGUCGAUUUGCGUGUAAUUCGAUGUAUAGAGCGGACGGUGACAUUAUUGUAAAUAGUCUGCUAAACUAGACGUCUGUUUUUGGAUAAAACCGACGUCUAUUAAUUUCAAGACGUCAGCACUGUAGCACCCCGACGUCUACUGGGCUGCAUUUAAUGCUUUUCACCUAAUUCUCAUGGGCUUAGACGUCACGUAGUCCAAAUCCGACGUCUAAGGCAUGUCUGGAAGGCGGGAAGACAAAAAAAUCUUCAAUGUUGACAUCGGCGUUUCAGUCUACGCGACGUCUAUAAUACCUGUAAUAAUUAUGUUUACAAAACUCGAGGGCCUGAGACGUCGGCUAUUUGGGCCCCCGACGUGUAUGUUAUUAUAGACGUCGGUGGCCCAUACCAACAGUCGUGAACAUCCCUGACAGGAUAUCAAACGUCAAUCGGUUCAGCUUCCUAGAUGUCGGUUCCCCCUGACAGAAACCGACGUCUAAUGGGUAUUCAAAAAGUCAGUUUUAAAUGUUCACUUGGACGUCACAUUAGUAGGAUAACCGACGUCUAUAGAUGUCGGUUUCUGAAGAAUAACCGACGCCCAAUUCCAUUUUAAAUAUACCACAACUCUUCGCGGCAUUUCAGUUUCUGAUAUCGAUCGUCUUCCUCUUCUCCUUUUUCUCUUGCCACACCUCUUCUUUUUCUCUCUUGCAUCCCAAGUGCGUGGUUUUUUUUUUAUGUUUACAGUUUAAACUUUAUUUAGUCUUUCAUCUAUUAUCUUGUGGUUCAACUGAUGAAAAUUUGCUUUCUUUGUGUUGUGUUUUAGUGCAAUUUUGAUCCUCUCUUUGGGUAACAUAGUACAACAUUCUCCCUUUGCUAGUUUCCUCACAAGAAGAGUGACAAUCUUUUGAGUUUUUUAUGAUUUCUCGACCUAAAAUGCAACUUGGGUCCUUGUCUAGUUCUCGUGUCACCGUAAUUUUUUUCUUUUGCGGUUGAAUAAUGGGAAGUAGUCAUGGACCCAGGUUCGGUUUUGGGUUGAAAUGUCAUAGAAGAUUCAAAAGACGCAAGCUUUUUUUUGUGGGGAAACUAGCGAGAGGAGAGUGUUGCACUAUGCUACCGAAAGUCUGGAUCAAAACUGUACUAAAACACAACGUUAGACAUCGGUUAGUGUCAGGUCCGACGUCUAUAAGGAACAUAGACGUCGGUUAGUGUCAUUUUAAACCUCUAUAUAUUCAUCUAGACGUCGGUUUUAUGCAUAGGUGGACGUCUAUAUAGAGAAAUUAGACGUCAGUGUGGGUAUAAGUAGACGUCUAGAUAGACAUCGGUGGAUAUCGUUAACCGACGUUUAUAUUGACGUCGGUUAAGAGGAUUUCCGACGUCCCAUGGACGUCACCCUUAUAGACGUCUGUUGUGUAAGUGACGUUAAAAGCCCAAAUUAACCUACGUUAAACAACGUUUCUACACUAAUGUUGGUGACAAUUGUAAAAACAUCUAGUAUAUAUUAUAUUGAUAUACAUAUGUUUAUUUCCAAUAAAUUUAUUUCAAACUGAAUUAUAUAUUUUGUAAAACUUUCAUAUUUUUUAUAAACUCUUGUCUUUCGUCUAACUUUUAUGAUUUUUCUUUAAACGUGGGAAGAUUUCAUGCAUAAAUUACAUAAAAUGAUAGAUUUCUAAAAAAUCAUAAAAUAAGUUAUGUACUUUCUAUACCACUUCAAAUAAAAAUUUCUUUUGAUUUUCACAUAACUUUUAUUAUGAUACUAUUGAAAAAUGAAAGUUAAUAAUUUUUUUUUACGACUUCAAAGUUGGUGAUCCUUAUGACGAUUUUAGCAUUGAAAUCGUUGAAAUGGACUACUUCUCUUACGACUUCAAUAGUUGUUAAAGUUGUUCACCCUAGACCGAAUUGAAAGUUUGGCCAGGAUGAAGUUAAGUUCAACUGAACUCUGUAGAGCUUAGAGUGACAAUGUUGAACCUACUAAUAACAUUGUGAAGCUCAGCUAGACAUAGUUGAACUUGGAAGGUGUCAUUCUUGACAUCGUAUGGUAAAAGACCUUUUGGAAAGAAGAUUUUUUAAGAGUAAAAAUAAUAGCUCACAUCCUAUUAACACUACUUGAAAGUUUAGUGUUAAUAUAAAGUGUCAUAUAUGAGCGGUCAUUUUUACUCUCAAAAAUAUUUUUUUUGAAAGCCCUUUUGUAUGUUAGGAAUGAAACUUUUUGAGCUCAAUUACGUUAAACCGAACUCCACAACGUUAUUGUAGAGUUCAACAUUAUCAGUUUAAGCUUUGUGGAGUCUCAUCGAGCUUAACUUUAUCUGGAUGACCUAUAUAAAACUUGUCUGAGCUUAUCAUUUCAGUCCGAACUAGGGUGGUCGACUUCACUGUUGCAGUAGUGAGGGGGUGGCCGACUUUUAUAUUGAAGUCGUCAAAAAAUAACUUUUCAACUAUGUCAAAGCGAAAAUCAUAUGAAAGAUAAUCAACUUUCUCAUUUGAAAUUAUAUAAAGGUUUCACGACUUAUCAAUUUUCAUAAUUUUCCAUAUUUAUGUAUUUUUUUUAGAGGACAAUGAUAUUUUGACAAUACUUUUUUAUAAUUUUUUUUACAACGGGACACAUGUCAUCGUUUUAUUGGUCUAUUUAAAUUUAUGUUUAAAAAAUAUUUAAAACAGACCAAUCACAAACUGUCACAUAUGUGUUGUCAAAAGAUUAUUAAAAAAAUGUUGUUAAAAUUUAUUUUUCCUUUCUUAGAUUAUGCUCAAAGCUCUAUAUUUGAUUAGAAACAAAAAUUGGAUAAGAAGCUAAUUCAACUUACUAAAGCAGGUCAUAAAUAAGAUAAGAAUACGACUCAUAUAUAAUAUAUUUUAUAUGAUCGGUGGAUGUAAAAUUUUCAAAGAUCAUUUAGAUAUUUUAAUUAGGAAAAUGAUAUUUUAACACUUUCUUUUAGAUCAUUUUAACACUGUACACGUGUCAAAAUGUGGUUCGACGAUUUCAAAUUAAAAAAAUAAACUUUGGUUUUUCUCUUCCAAAUAUACCUCUCUCUCUACUUUUUUAAUUUGAAAUCGUCCAAUCACAUUUUGACACGUGUACAGUGUCAAAAUGGUGUUAAAAUGUCAUUUUCCUUUUGAAUAUGACAGAUCACUUGUGACAUUUAUAAAAUGAUAAACAAGAUGGCUUUAAAUUAUUUUAAAAUACCUUGUGUUCAAAACUAAUGAAAUCAAACAUGCAGUGGUUAUUAAAUUGGAAUAAUAAUGGUAGUUAUCUUCUCACCUGUUUAUCUACCUAUCAGUUUCUUCAUUUAUGAACAUGGGGAAAAGAACAACACCUGUUUAUCUUCUCCUCCAUGUUCACCACCACCAAUCAAUCUUUAUAUAUAUAUCAUGAGUUGCAGAACCUUUUACCAUUAACUUUUUCUCACCAUGGAUUCUGAAAUACUCCUUAUCUUUUCCUUUCUCCUCUGCAUCAUUGUGGCACUCAAACUAGGGAGAAACCUCAACAAAAAAAGCAAGCCAUCAUCACUAAACAUACCCCCUGCACCAUGGAAGCUUCCUGUUAUAGGAAACCUGCACCAUCUUGUUUCAUCCACACCACACCGAAAACUAAGAGACUUAGCCAAAAUAUACGGACCCAUGAUGCAUCUCCAGCUAGGAGAGAUCUUCAUUAUCGUUGUUUCCUCAGCAGAGUACGCCAAAGAGAUCAUGAAAACACAUGAUGCAACCUUUGCAUCGAGACCUCAACUUCUGGCAGCAGAUAUAGCUACUUAUGGAUACACAAACAUUGCUUUUGCACCUUACGGAAGUUACUGGAAAAAGGUACGAAAAAUCUGUUCUGUCCCCAAAACGUGUCAGUUCAUUCCAACCGAUCAGAGAAGAAGAACUCAACAAUCUGGUUCAAAUUGUUAGUUCACAUGUUGGAGGGUCCCCCAUCAACCUCACUGAAGCAGUGUCCUCAUCAAUGUAUAACAUCAUUUCAAGGGCUGCUCUGGGGCAGAAGCGCACCAAAGACCACAAUGAGUUCUUCUGGCUCCAGGAGUGAAAUCAGUUGUGAAAGAAACCCUAAGGUUACACCCACCAGGAGUUCUUCUGGCUCCAAGAGAAUAUGCAGAGACAUGUGAGAUUGAUGGGUAUGAGAUACCAGUGAAAAGUAAGAUAUUGAUAAAUGCCUGAGCAAUUGGGAGAGACCCAAAGUACUGGAAUGAAGCAGAGAGGUUUUAUCCAGAGAGAUUCAUUGGCAGUUCCAUUGAUCUUAAAGGGAAUCAUUUUGAGUUCAUUCCCUUUGGUGCUGGAAGAAGAAUCUGUCCUGGCAUUUCCUUUGGCUUGCUAAAUGUUGAACUCACUCUUGCUGUUUUGUUGUUUCACUUUGAUUGGAACCUUCCUGAAGGAAUCAAAAGUGAAGACUUUGACAUGACUGAGAAAUUUGGAAUCACUGUUGGAUUAAAGAAUGACAUAUUCUUGAUACCUCUCACUGCUGGUAAGAUAUAUUUCUUUGCUAAAUCAUAUUAUCUCAUAACCAUCAUAGUCUCACUCUUAACUAAUUAAAGGUAACGUAUAUUAUCUAAUCAAGUUAAACAUUAUAAGAAAACAUUAUCUAAUGUCACUGUUGAUGUUUUUAAAGGGAAGUGAUGCAAAGAGAGUAAGGAAGUUAGCAGUGGAAGCAAAGAAGGGUGAGUGAGGAAGAAGAUUUCCACACAUAUUUGUUGAAAAGUGAAUAUGCAUCAGUGUUUCAGUUCUUCAAUAAUGAAUAAUUGGUCAGCAGAUCAAGUCUUUAAGAACUCUUACUGUAAUAUUUUUAUGUUAUGUUUGUUUUCUCAAGUAUUGAACUGUGAGUGUCCUUUCUUUUUCUCAGCAUGCUUCAUCUAAAGAACAUUAAUAAAUGUGUUAUUGCAGUUAUAAUUUUCACCUUUAUGUUUCUCUGUCUUUUAUGCAUGGCUUAUUUAGUCACUCCCAUAACGGACCCAUAACUACCAGAUUACAAAGUUUGUUUAAUUCUUGUUUUUUUAAUUAUUAUUAUAAUUAUCAUUUUUUAAAAUUUUGUUAUACUAUUUACACCUUUUUUAUUUAAUUCUUUUUUUUAUAUAAAAGUGAGUCGAUACAUAAAUUUUAUUUGGCAAAUUGAUAAUAAAAGUGUUUCAAUAACGUGAAAGAAUAGGUAAGUUCGAUGUGAAAGAAUAUGCAAGUUCUAGAAGUUGUUUGCAAGCCUUAAAUGGUUUCCAAACCGUAUUAAAGACUUGAGAAUUAUUAAAAAGCUUUUAAAAAACCAGAAAACAUAAAACAAAGAGAAGGUUGGUUUUUUGUAGUGGUAAUUACGUCUAUAUCUCUUUUCACCACUCUUAAAAGAUUUCAAUAUUUUUAAAAAGAUACAACAAAUUUUACUGUUUCUAUUUUACAACGAAUAUAAUCACUUUCAGUAUAAAAUAAAUUGACUAUGUUUAACUUCUGUGAAUUAAACAAUUAAAUAUUUUAAAUUACUUCUAAUUAUUCAAAAAUAACAUUGUUUUUUUUAUUAAGUUAAACAACUAAAUAUUUUAAACUAUAUUUGAUUAUAAAAAAUAAUAGUGUUUUUAAAACAAGUAUAGACUCAGAAGAUCUUUUAGAGAAUUUAAAUCAAUACAAAAUUCAUCUAAAAACUUGUUAUUAAUAAUUUUUUUUUAAAGAGCUAAACUACACAAGAAUAGAAGGAUAUUGACAACUUAAUAAUAUGUACAACUAUUACUCUUGAUUCUUCUCGUGAUCUUCUUUAUAUAAAAAUUUUUAAGAAAGAUUUGAUACUCAAAAACAUUAAUUUUAGGUGUGUAGGUUGGUCUUAGUCUAAAAGAGGAAAUGUGCUUGUAUGCUCAGGUCACACAGACACACACAUAUAUAUAUAUAUAUAUAUAUNNNNNNNNNNNNNNNNNNNNGUUCAAAUUAUCGGUUCACAUGUUGGAGGGUCCCCCAUCAACCUCACUGAGGCAGUGUCCUUAUCAAUGUAUAACAUCAUUUCAAGAGCUGCUCUCGGGCAGAAGCGCACCAAAGACCACGAUGAGUUCAUGUCUAUAGUCCAACGAGGAGUGCUUGGUGCAGGAGGUUUUGACAUAGGAGAGUUGUUUCCUUCUGCUACUUGGCUUCAACAUCUCACGGGUUUGAGGCCUAUGCUUGAGAAGGUGCAUCAACAAAUCGAUCGGAUACUGGAAGCCAUCAUCAAUGAACACAGAGAAGCAAGAUCCAAAGCCCAACAUGAUAAUGAAUCAGUCGAAGAUUUGGUAGAUGUUCUCCUAAACUUCCAUGAUGCUAACGACUUAACCAUUAACAAUAUCAAAGCAGUAAUCAUGGUAAGGAUUCCAUCUACUUCUAAAUUCUUUGGAAAAUUUAUAAACAUGAGGUAAAAUAAAAGUUCUAAAUUGAGUCAAGAGGAGUUCUAAAUUGAAGUCGUCAUGUGGACAACUUUUUCAUAAAAUUCUGAAAAAAUUGAUAAUUUUUUUAUAAACAUGUUGAAGGAAAAUGGUUAAGAAUGGUGAUGAUAUAUAAGAAACCCAUAACACAAACAAAGUUUUCUGAUACGAAAGAGAGAUAUUCAAGAAAUAAGGUUUUUUAGAAUAAACUGACGUCAAGUUUCACUUAAAAGGAUUGAAACUUGAAUUUAAUAAAAAAUUAAUUAAAAAAUAACAAUAACUAUGCGGUUUCAUGAAAUUUAUAUAUAUCAUGAUAUUAUUAUUUUAUUGAUUUACUUAAAUUUAUUUUUUAAAAAAAUAUUUAAAACAAAUGAAUCAUAAAUUAUUAUUAUUAAAAAAUUAUUAAAAAAACAUUUUCCAUUUAUAUAUUAUUGUGUAUCUGAACCAAAUUUUUAAAUUUUGAAACCUUGAGUACAGUGUGAUGGAUAAUUAUAAACUGAUAUGAAAUUUAUGUAUUUAUAAAAAAAAAAAAAAAGGUCAUAUUUCAAUGCAUGCAUGCAUCACUGGUCCAUGUCACAUAGAGCAGUGAUACCUUGCCACCGACAAAUUACGUUGAUUUGACACUGUUGAAUAAUAAUAUUUUGAUUAUAAUUAUAUUAUUUUUUAAUUUAAAAUCAUAAUAUAUAUAUAUAUAUAUAUAUAUAUAUAUAUAUAUAUAUUAUUAAAAGUAGUGUGAAAUGUCUUUUUCAAAAUCAGUAUCAAACUAACUUUUUCAUAUCACCAAGUAAUUAGCACCAGUAUGGCUGAUUGUACAGGGCCAUACUUGGUUUGAAUUGUAGAGAACAUUAGUUUCCAAAAUUUAUUUCAUUCAACAAUAAACACACUGAAAAAUAAAGACUUCGAAAUAGAACUAUUAUAAUAUGCACUGUUUGAUAUUUGAUAUAACAAUCUUAAUAUUUAUUUAGUUAAAUUAAAUAAAAGAGUGUAAAAUUAAACUAAAGUUUUUUUUUUUUUUUUUUUUUACAUUUUUUAUUGUCGUUUAUCUAUAUAUUACCAAUCGGAAGUUAACAUUCUUAUUAUUUUAUAAUAUAAUAAAAAUAACUGAUUUCUUGAAAAAAUACUAAUAAUUUAUUGUAUAUAACAUUUUGAUAAUCGUGUGUGUAUAUAUAUAUAUAUAUAUAUAUAUAUAUAUAUAUAUAUAUAUAUAUAUAUAUAUAUAUAUAUAUAUAUAUAGUACUCUCCAUUACACUCACUUUAUAGAAUUAAAAUAUGAAAUCCUAAAUCCAUAAAGAAGUGUGUCUUGCAUUGCAGGACAUUUUUGUAGCUGGAGUAGAGCCUGUGACAACUACCAUAAACUGGGCAAUGGCAGAGAUGAUGAGGAAUCCAAGAGUGAUGAAGAAAGCACAAGAUGAGGUGAGAGAGGUGUUCAAAGAAAAGGGAAGGGUUGAUGANNNNNNNNNNNNNNNNNNNNNNNNNNNNNNNNNNNNNNNNNNNNNNNNNNNNNNNNNNNNNNNNNNNNNNNNNNNNNNNNNNNNNNNNNNNNNNNNNNNNNNNNNNNNNNNNNNNNNNNNNNNNNNNNNNNNNNNUAUAUAUAUAUAUAUAUAUAUAUAUAAUUUGACAGUUCAACACACAAACAAAGAUUUUCCUUCAAACACCAAAACUCAUGCAAGAUCAAAGUCAAGAUUUAAUUGGGACUACAAUUAACAUAAAAACACAAAAAUAAAAACAGAUAAUUUCUACGAAUCAAAUGUAGAAAUACACAAAUUAAAAGAAGACAUAAAAAAAUACAAAAAUUAAAAACUCAAGGGAAUUGCAUUUUGGGUUUUUUAUUUCUAAUAUGACAAAAAAAUAAGAUAAAAGAGGAUAUUCAAACCAGAACCUUGCUUUGAUACCAAAUGAUACGAUCAUGUCCAAAAAAAGUACGAUCUUUUCUGAAUUUGAAUCAUCAAGGGCACAAUAAAAAUAAAUCAGAGAAGAACGUAAAAUAAGACAGAGAUGGAAAUGCCACAAUCUAGUGGAUAAGUCAAGUGAAGAUUCGCCACAAAGAUGUUAAUCUUUCAUAAGAAUUAGAGUUCUAAACAAAGAACAAAGAGAAUCCUCUCUCAAAAAUGUAAAUGCAUAUAUUAUGACUCAAACAAGCUUUUACAUAUGUAUUUAGUGCCCCUAUAUAUAGGUACAAAUGUUUAAGGCACCUAAGAAACCCUAAAAGAAAGCUCAAAGACAUCAGGUCCAAAAUAACUUGAAAAAUUAAAAAUAGAAACAAAUUGUUUGCAAUUAAAAUAAAAAUACAAUUUAUUUAAUUUCCUAAAUUGUUCUUCAAUUGUGCUCAUGAUCUUCAUGUUCUUUAAAUUCUUUUCUUCAUAAAGAUUAUAAGAUUCAAGAUCCAAGGAGACAUGUUUUGAUCUUUGACCUUGUCAUAGAUCCUUUGAAUUGCAAAUGUUCUUCUUCAAGUUCUUCUCAUAUAUGUUUCAGGAGAUAGUUCUCUAUCAACUAGAGUGAUAUGUUCUCAUAUAUCCCUUAAUUAGGAUCACUUUGAAUAAUAUGCAUGUCAUCUACUAUGUUAUUGACUUGCACUUCAAUUGUUCUUGAUAUCGGGGACGACGUGUCUAUUAUACCUAGAGAGUCAUCAUCAUGUGUUCUGAUUGUGCUUCUUCCUUCCAAGACAACUGACCAUUUACGAUUAGAACGAUCAGUAAUAUAAAAUAUUUGUUUUGCAUGAUAUGCCAUAAUAUAUAAAUGGUUCAUCUACAUAACUCACCUUGUUAAGAUCGACCAAUGUAAACUCGAACUCAUCCAUCCUAAGACCUGUAUUGACAUCAAUCCAUUUACAUUUAAAUAUUGUUACUCUAAAUGUGACAGUCAAUUUCCUAGAUGUCUUCUAUCACUCCGAAGUAACUCAUAGAUGCUAUAAUUGGAUUUUUGUCUUUUGAACUAGUAAAAAGCACACACUCGGCUUGAAUGGUAACCCCACUAUUUUGAACUCUACUUUUUUCAUCUUUUUUUUUUUGUGUAGAAACAAAAGUUGUUUAUAUAGUACCCACCAUAUGUCAUGUCAUGAUUGUUAGGUCCUCAAGCUAGCCUCAACAAAGUUUCGGAAGCAUCCCUUUGAGAGUAAACAUUUUUCUUAAACCAAGCUAAGAAUGUUUUGUUAUGUUCAUUAAGUGUCCAUUUUUCAUUCAUUUGUGGGUGUGCUAACUUUAUUUCAUCAAUGUGUUGGGACAUAUAAGGAAUGUGCAUGUUAGGUCAAGUUUUGUGCAUUUAAUAGCAAACAAUCAUUUCAACUUAGGAAUCAUGGGGGUACCACAACACUUUAGUGGGGCGACCUUCUAUUUAUUCAUUAACACUAUUCUCAUCAACCUUCUUAUUAAAUUAAGACAACCCACACAUUGGACACACCUUCAAUGCAACAAAUUUGUUUCUGUAUAAUACACAAUUAUUAGAGCAUGCAUGUAUCUUCUUAUACUCCAAGCCUAUUGGAUAAAGAACUUUUUUUUCCUUGUAGUUACCAUUAGGUAAUGUGUUUUUUUUUAAGCAUCUAGCUCAAUAAUUUCAACCAUUCUGUGAAACUUUUAUCAAUCCAUCAAUUUCUUGUUUUCAAACUAAACUAUUUCAAAGUUGCAGAUAAUCGUGUAAAGGUAGUGCGUCCUAGGUACAAUUAAUCGGACUUCAAAGAAUCAUAUAGAUGAUCUCUUCCAAAAUUUUCUUCACCAACAUCACGUAUUAUAUCCUCUAAAUGAUUGUUCAUCCAUUCUUAAACAUAUUAUGUUGUUUGUGACGUACUAGGGUUGUCUAAUACUUCUCCAUGCCAAGUCCAAAUCGUAUAAUUUUUCACUAUGUUGUAGACGAAUAAGUGAUCACGUAUUUCGUUCAAAUUUUGACGUAUUUGGUUCAAACAACGAACACAAGAACAAUAGUAUGUCCCAUACACAGCUCUCACAUGUUCUUGAGCAUAUUGCAAGAAUAUAACAACCCCUUUUCAUAGUCUUCAUUAAGACGAUGUGCAUUCAUCCAACUUUGAUCCAUAACUAUAUUGGUAACAAACUCCAUUAUUAUCAUAUUUUAAGUUCUCAAAUGGGUUAAAUAAUUUAAAUUAUCAACGCAUUAUACAUCCAAAAAUAAUUUAAAUAACUGACAAAGCAUAUGAUAAACAAAUAAAUUAUAGAAUAACCAAUACACAAUCAAGUAGAGAAAUUCUCAUUCAAUUCUCAAAGACGAAAAAUUUUAACACUUAAUUUUAGUCCAAUAUAUUUUUCUCUUAUUUUAUUACUUAAGUCACUAUCCUUUAUUUUUUUUUCUUUCUUCAUAUCUCUCGUAUCUCCACUCUAAUUUAAGUGAAUAUUUAUCAUCACUUCAUUUAAUUUAUAGUACUAAUUCAAAAAAAAAAAAAUUAAUUCAAAAACAUACACCAUAUCACCAAAAUGACAAAAACCAAAUUAUCAAAUAACAUUAACCCAAAAUCACCCAAACUAUAUAUAUUAAAAGUGUGAAAAUUAUAUAUUUUUAACAAUAAAUUUUAAUUUAUAAUAUAAAUUUAUUCGAAUGAAUACUUUUAAAAAUACAUGAUAAAAAUAACAACAAUAAGUAAUAGUAAAUAGCUUCUAUUAUUAUGUAUUAGAAAAUAGUGAUUAUAUAUAUAGCCUUGUUUUUUUAAUGUCAAAACUAUGAAAAAAAUUUAAACUUUUAUAGUCAUUGACCCUAUAAUUAUAUAAUUUUAUUAUAUUUGAUGUUGAAAAUUUGAGAAAUAAUAUAUAUAUAUAUAUAUAUAUAUAUAUAUAUGUGGUCUGUUUUACAUGAUCCCUUGUUUAAUGGUAAACAGAGGAAGGUGGGUGAUGUGUUACAGUGCGUUUUGAGAGAAACUAUAUUAAGUAUUUCUUGUGUUUAUAAUAUGUGCUAAAAAUUUGGAUUUUUUAAUCUGAGUAAUUUUAAAAUACUGAUAAACAUUAAUUUUGAUGUUUUAAAAUAUAUUAAAAAAAUUUCAAGAUAUCAACAUUAAUGUUCAAAUAGAAAAUAUACCAAAAUAUCUAAUAAAAAAUCUGAACCCGUGCUAAUCUCUAUCUAAAUUUUCAAGAAAAGUUAAUACUACUCAAUUAUCAUGUGUGAAUGAAGUUCAUUACAAAAUAUAUCAGUAUCAGUAUCAGACCACUUAAUUGUUUCAUCUGUCUUUUAGAGAACAUUCAGAGGUGUAAGAGGAAAAGAUGAUAAACAUUUUGCACUAAGGGAGGACGGUGUGAUGGUGGAAGAGAUCAUCUGGGGUUGUUGUUCUGUUUUUAGUUCAUCAAUGGAGAUGAUAAACCCACAAAAAAAUCAGAGUAUAUAAAUAAUUUAUAUAAAAAGAGAGGAAAAUAUAUUUGACCAAUUAUGAAUAUGUGGGGAACAUGUGCUUACUACAUUGAUGGUAAUAACUCUAUUAACUUUAUAGUCACUCAAAGUUAGGUAAAUCUUGUUGCUUCAGUUUUGAAGACAUUAAGUUCAUGCUUCUUGUGUCUCUACGUAGGUUGUUGAGUAUUGUGGUGUGAAUGUAAGGUGUAGUGUUACUGAUCUUAUUUGAAAGAAGCAAAAUAUCGUUCGAAAGGCAAAGAUUGCUAUGUGAGUAUUGUGUUUAAGAUUGUUUAUUUGGUAAUUAUUUUGAAAACCCUAACAGGUCCAUGAUUGCUAUUAAUAUUUGAGUUCAUUUACUGCUAAUCGUAACACCAAGCAAAAUAAAAUAUUUUCAUCGAAUAUGCAUGAUGGAUAAUAUAUCUACUGAUACAAUAGACUGCAUUAAUUUACAUUUAAGCUAAUAAAGCUUUGACAUGUUUUUUUCACAAAAAUCAGUGUUUUCUAACAUGUUUUUAUGGAAUCUUUGGAUAGGUACAAGCUUUUAUAUAUCGCUGAACUCAAGGAUAGGUAGAGUUGAAGCAAUGCAAUUAUUAAGUAAUGAUUGGGAAAUACAUUUGGAAGCUUGUCGAACCAGUCUUGUGAUAUGUUGCAUUAAAUUGAAAAAUAUAUUUGGAAGCUUAUAGAACCAGUCUUGUGAUAUGUUGUUGUCUGUGCUGGAAAUGAGAAAUCAGCUUAAGCUCAACCAAAGCAACCUAUACUAACUUGUUAAAAGGAGAUGAGACAUUGAAGUACUAUUAGUAUAUUAGAGAAGUCUAGGUACUUUAGGUUUUAUUUAUUUAUCUUUGGAAAUCUUUGACUUGUACAUAGAUAUUUGGAUUUUGUAAGAUGUUAAAUCCUUUAUGUAUGAAUAUUGUUGUAUGUUGAUAUUAUUUGAUUAAUGAUUAUUUCUUAAAUAUUAUAUAUAAAUUCUUUAUUUCACAAUGUUUACUUUGAUUAAUGGUUUUACAUGUAUGUGGGGUUCUUUGUAUCAGAUUUGACAUUGCAAUCUGCUUACCUAGUUACAUAAAGAUAAAUUCGUAUGUAAUCUGUCUAACUAGUUACAUACGACUUUUUCUAUAUGUAAAUUACAUACGGAUUUUACAUACGGAUUUAUCUGUAUGUAAUUUACAUACGUAUUUAUCUGUAUGUAAUUUACAUACUGAUUUAUCUGUAUGUAGUUUACAUACAGAUUUUUUUGUAAUUUACAUACAAAAUAAUCUAUAAGUAACUUAGCUACGACCAUUUUACAUAUGGAUUUUAGAAUGUAAGUAAUCUAUAUGUAACACUACUUUACAUAUGAAUUUUUUAGCUUACAUACGGAUUUUAGCUAUAUCUGUAAAGUUCUGCAGCACCCUCUUCUCUCAAUAUUUUUAGGAAUGCAUCUAGUAGACCAUCAAGCACUUGACAAAGAACUCUAGUAUCUUACUCAAAGAGUGAACAAAUAAUGUGAAAAAUGUUACGAGAUCUUAAUCUUGAUCCAAGAGGCCAAAGAAAAUAAAAAACUCUAAACAAAACUUCAAGGAAUUUUUCAAAAGGAGACAAAAUAAGAAAAUUAGAAAAUUCAUAGGACCACAAAAAAAGAGUUAAAUGAAACAAUGCGAAGACUCUAAAAAAGACAAAAUAUAAUUUAAUAGUGCAAGAUGUUAAUUUGUGUUGAACUCUACAAUUUUUUUCUUUUACUCUUGGAUUCGUACUUUCUCUUUUUUUUAAUAUAUAUUUGUUUUUUUUACUUGGAUCCAAUAUAUAUAUAUAUAUAUAUAUAUAUAUAUAUAUAUAUAUAUAUAUAUAUAUAUAUAUAUAANAACAACAACAAACAAGUUCAAAAAAAAAAUAACAAACAAGUUAUCAACAAAUAAGUUCUUCAAUGAAAAUGAAAACGAAAACGAAAAGUAACCUUUAAAAGGUAGGUUCAUCAGAAUAAAGUGUUGCCACCAGUGAGAGAGAAAACAUAAUGCGCCUAUGAAGGACAAGAACAUGAAAAUAAUCGGUGAAAAUAAACGAAAAUCAUACUAAAGUAGUUCAUUAACAUGCAUUUGUAUCAAAUGAAAGAAAGAUUACAUGUGAUGGUCGUCAAAGUUCGUUCCAAAAAAGUUUGAGUAAAGAAAAGGGUUUCGCGCACUAAGACAAAGUGAAUGAAUUUUCAAUCUUCCGCUAAAUUUUUUUUUAAUUCACUAACCUUUUAACGUCUAACGCUGGGGCAUUCGACGUUUUAUAUCAUUUUACGUCGAAUUACAAUUUUAAACGACGUUUAAUAAUUGCAUUUAUUUACAAGAAUGUCACCGGUCAUAUUUAGUGUUGGUUAUUGAGUGAUUCGACACUAUGUGUGCCGUUAUACGCAAUUUUUCCACUAGUAUUCAAAUUCCAUUUUAUUAAUACUCAUUUUCUACAUCUUCUACAUGUUUACUCCAAUCAUUCAUUAUUUCACUUUUAUAAGAAAACCUAUUAUUUAAAACAUAAUAUGCACACCUUUCAGUUAUAAAUAAAUUAGUUUCAUUGUAUCUAUUUUUGUUGUGAAAAGAAUGUUGUUGUCGAAAGAAUCUUGUUGUUGUUGGUAAUUUGAAUCUAUUUAGAAUAGGAUAGAACAUAUUUUUAAGUUUGUUACAAAAAGAUAUCAAUGUAAAAUAUUAAAUUAAGUCUCUUAAAAAGUAAGAGAUGUAAAAAUAAAUGUAAUAACUAACUUUUAUUUAUCAAAUUAUCACAAUUUUUAAGUUAAGUUUUUUUUAACAAACUUAAAUUCCCAUAUUUAAUAAUUGUUUAUAUGAAUGGUGGAUGUAAAAUUUGUGUAGAUCCUUUAGAUAUUUUAAUUAUACUUAUGAAUAUCACUUGUCACAUGAAUGAUAGACUGGCUUUAAAAUAUUUUAAAACACCUUGGUCUUCAAAACUAAUGAAAUAAAAAAUUCAGUCGUUAUUAAAUUGGAACAGUAAUGGUGGUUGAUCUUAUCACCUGUUCUGUUUAUCUACCUAUCAGUUACUUCAUUUAUGAACAUGGGGAAAAGAACAACAUGGGAAAAGAACCUGGCUUGGAUUCUCCUCCAUGUUCACCACCAAUCAAUCUUUAUAUAUAUAUAUCAUGAGUUGCAGAACCUUUUAUCAUUAACUUUUUCUCACCAUGGAUUCUGAAAUACUCCUUAUCUUUUCCUUUCUCCUCUGCAUCAUUGUGGCACUCAAACUAGGGAGAAACCUCAACAAAAAAAGCAAGCCAUCAUCACUAAACAUACCCCCUGCACCAUGGAAGCUUCCUGUUAUAGGAAACCUGCACCAUCUUGUUUCAUCCACACCACACCGAAAACUAAGAGACUUAGCCAAAAUAUACGGACCCAUGAUGCAUCUCCAGCUAGGAGAGAUCUUCAUAAUCGUUGUUUCCUCAGCAGAGUAUGCCAAAGAGAUCAUGAAAACACAUGAUGCAACCUUUGCAUCGAGACCUAAACUUCUGGCAGCAGAUAUAGCCUCUUAUGGAUACACAAACAUUGCUUUUGCACCUUACGGAAGUUACUGGAAAAAGGUACGAAGAAUCUGCAACAUGGAGCUUCUGUCCCCAAAACGUGUCAGUUCAUUCCAACCGAUUAGAGAAGAAGAACUCAGCAAUCUGGUUCAAAUUAUCGGUUCACAUGUUGGAGGGUCCCCCAUCAACCUCACUGAGGCAGUGUCCUUAUCAAUGUAUAACAUCAUUUCAAGAGCUGCUCUGGGGCAGAAGCGCACCAAAGACCACCAUGAGUUCAUGUCGAUAGUCCAACAUGCAGUGCUUGGUGCAGGAGGUUUUGACAUAGGAGAGUUGUUUCCUUCUGCUACAUGGCUUCAACAUCUCACUGGUUUGAGGCCUAUGCUUGAGAAGGUGAAUAAACAAAUCGAUCGGAUACUGGAAGCCAUAAUCAAUGAACACAGAGAAGCAAGAUCCAAAGCCCAACAUGGCCAUGAAUCAAACGAAGAUUUGGUAGAUGUUCUCCUAAACUUCCAUGAUGCUAAUGACAGUAACCAUGAAGUUUGCUUAACCAUUAACAAUAUCAAAGCAGUAAUCACGGU
This 24668-nucleotide long non-coding RNA is filed under the name Vigna radiata. RNAcentral's name for it is "long non-coding RNA (VRAD_LNC005598)". Lineage: Eukaryota; Viridiplantae; Streptophyta; Magnoliopsida; Fabales; Fabaceae. The record is from RNAcentral.